Molecule: ribosomal RNA, 656 nt
Filed under: uncultured bacterium
Lineage: Bacteria
Description: bacterial SSU rRNA
Rfam family: Bacterial small subunit ribosomal RNA
Source: RNAcentral
UCGAACGGAGUCGUUUUGGAAAUCUCUUCGGAGAUGGAAUUCUCGACUUAGUGGCGGACGGGUGAGUAACGCGUGAGCAAUCUGCCUUUAAGAGGGGGAUAACAGUCGGAAACGGCUGCUAAUACCGCAUAAAGCAUUAAAUUCGCAUGUUUUUGAUGCCAAAGGAGCAAUCCGCUUUUAGAUGAGCUCGCGUCUGAUUAGCUGGUUGGCGGGGUAACGGCCCACCAAGGCGACGAUCAGUAGCCGGACUGAGAGGUUGAACGGCCACAUUGGGACUGAGAUACGGCCCAGACUCCUACGGGAGGCAGCAGUGGGGAAUAUUGCGCAAUGGGGGAAACCCUGACGCAGCAACGCCGCGUGAUUGAAGAAGGCCUUCGGGUUGUAAAGAUCUUUAAUCAGGGACGAAACAAAUGACGGUACCUGAAGAAUAAGCUCCGGCUAACUACGUGCCAGCAGCCGCGGUAAUACGUAGGGAGCAAGCGUUAUCCGGAUUUACUGGGUGUAAAGGGCGCGCAGGCGGGCCGGUAAGUUGGAAGUGAAAUCUAUGGGCUUAACCCAUAAACUGCUUUCAAAACUGCUGGUCUUGAGUGAUGGAGAGGCAGGCGGAAUUCCGUGUGUAGCGGUGAAAUGCGUAGAUAUACGGAGGAACACCAGUG